Molecule: ribosomal RNA, 2871 nt
Filed under: Ziziphus jujuba (common jujube)
Lineage: Eukaryota; Viridiplantae; Streptophyta; Magnoliopsida; Rosales; Rhamnaceae
Description: bacterial LSU rRNA
Rfam family: Bacterial large subunit ribosomal RNA
Source: RNAcentral
GGAAAGGCUUACGGUGGAUACCUAGGCACCUAGAGACAAGGAAGGGCAUAAUAAACGAUGAAAUGCUUCAAGAAGUUGAAAAUAAGCGUAGAUCCAGAGAUUCCUAGAUAGGUCAACUUUUCGAACUACUGCUGAAUCCAUGGGCAGGCAAGAGACAACCUGGCGAAUUGAAACAUCUUAAUAGAUAGAGGAAAAGAAAGCAAAAGCGAUUCCCGUAGUAGCAGUGAGCGAAAUGAGAGCAGCUUAAACCGUGAAAAUGGGUUGUGGGAGAGCAAUACAAGGGUCGUGCUGCUAGGUGAAGCGGUGGAGUGCUGCACCCUAGAUGGAGAGAGUCCAGUAGCCGAAAGUAUCACUAGCUUAUGCUCUGACCCGAGUAGCAUGGGACACAUGGAAUCCUGUGUGAAUCAGUAAGGACCACCUUGUAAGGCUAAAUACUCCUGGGUGACUGAUAGUGAAGUAGUACCAUGAGGGAAGGGUGGAAAAAAACCCCAUCGGGGAGUGAAAUAAAUCAUGAAAUCAUAAGCUCCCAAGCAAUGGGAGAAGAUCAAGGCUUUGAUUGUGUGCCUGUUGAAGAAUGAGUCGGUGACUUAUAGGUAGUGGCUUGGUUAAAGGAACCCACCGGAGCUGUAGCAAAAGCAAGUCUUCAUAGGGAAAUUGUCACUGCUUAUGGACCCGAACCUAGGUGAUCUAUCCAUGACUAGGAUGAAGCUUAGGUGAAACUAAGUGGAGGUCUGAACCAAUUGAUGUUGAGGAAUUAACAGAUGAGUUGUGGUUAAGGGUGAAAUGCCAUUCGAACCCAGAGCUAGCUGGUUCUCCGCGAAAUGCGUCGAGGCACAACAGUUGACUAGACAUCUAGGGGUAAAGCAUUGUUUCAGUGCGGGCCACGAGAGCGGUACCAAAUUGAGGCAAACUCUAAAUACUAGAUAUUGCCUCAAAAUAACAUGGGUCAAGGUUGGCCAGUGAGACGAUGGGGGAUAAGCCUCAUCGUCAAGAGGGAAACAGCCCAGAUCACCAGCUAAGGCCCCUAAAUGACCGGUCAAUGAUAAAGGAGGUAGGGGUGUAGAGACAGCCAGAAGGUUUGGUUAGAAGCAGCCACCCUUGAAAGAGUGCGUAAUAGCUCACUGAUCCAGCACUCUUGCGCUGAAGAUGAACGGAGCCAAGCGAUCUGUCGAAGCUAUGAGAUGUAAAAAUGCAUCGAUUGGGGAGUGUUCCGCUUCCAAGGAAGCACCUGCGUGAGCCGUGGUAGAUGAAGCAAAAGCUAGAAUGUCAACUUGAGUAAUACAAACAUUGGUAAGAAUCCAAUGCCCCGAAAACCUAAGGGUUCCUCUGCAAGGUUCAUCCAUGGAGGGUGAGUCACGGCCUAAGAUCAUGCUGAAAGGAAUAGUCGACGGACAACAUAUAAAUAUUCCUGUACUAUCCCUUGUUGGUCUCGAGGGAUGGAGGAGGCUAGGUUAGCCGAAAGAUGGUUAUCGAUUCAAGGAUGCAAGAUGCCCCUGCUUUUUUCAAGGUAAGAAAGGGUAGAGAAAAUGCCAUGAGCCAAUGUUUGAGUAAUAGGCGCUACGGCGCUAAAGUAACCCAUGCCAUACUCUAAGGAAAAGCUCAAACGACCUUCAACAAAAGGGUACCUGUGCCCGAAACAAACACAAUUGCGUAGGUAGAGUAUACAUAGGGGCGCGAGACAACUCUCUCUAAGGAACUCAAUAAAAUAGCCCCGUAACUUGAGAAGAAGGGGUGCCUCCUCAUAAAGGGGGUCGCAGUGACCAGGCCCGGGCGACUGUUCACCAAAAACACAGGUCUCUGCAAAGUCAUAAAACCAUGUAUUUGGGCUGACGCCUGCCAGUGCUGGAAGGUCAAGGAAGUUAGUGACCUGAUGAUAGGGGAGCUGGCAACCAAAGCCUCGGUGAACGGCGGCCAUAACUAUAAUGGUCCUGAGGUAGUGAAAUUCCUCGUCGUGUAACAAUCUGGGCACUGUCUCAGAGAGAGGCUCAGUGAAAUAGACAUGUCUGUGAAGAUGUGGACUACCUGCACCUGGACAGAAAGAACCUAUGAAGCUUCACUAUUCCCUGGGAUUGGCUGUGGGCCUUUCCCGCGCAACUUAGGUGGAGGGCAAAGAAUGCCUCCUUCUUGGGGGGCCCGAGCCAUCAAUGAGAUACCAUUCUGGAAGAGCUAGAAUUCUAACCUUGUGUCAGGACCUACGGGCCAAAGGAUAGUCUCAGGUAGAUAGUUUCUAUUGGGAGCAGGCCUCUUGAAAGGUAACAAAGGUGUGCAAAGGUUUCCUCAGGCCAGAUGGAGAUUGGCCCUCUAGUGCAAAGGCAGAAGGGAGCUUGACUGCAAGACCCACCCAUUGAGCAGGGACGAAAGUCAGCCUACUGAUCCAACAAUGCCUAAUGGAAGAGCCAUCACUCAACGGAUAAAAGUUACUCUAAGGAUAACAGGCUGAUCUUCCCCAAGAUCUCACACCGAUGGGAAGGUUUGGCACCUCGAUGUUGGCACUUCGCCACCUGGGGCGGUAGUAUGUUCCAAAGGUUAGGCUGUUCACCCACUAAAGCGGUACGUGAGCUGGGUUCAGAACGUCGUGAGACAGUUCGGUCCAUAUCCGAUGUGGGCGUUAGAGCAUUGAGAGGACCUUUGUAACAGCCCAAUCCACCCACAUGCGAUAUUGUCCGCUUUGGGCCCAGCCCGCACGAAUUUGUCAAAACGCAUCACAUGGGAAAGGUAUCCACACCCUCUUUAAGGCAUGCUUUGUUCCCCUUUCCAACCGAUGUGGGAUCUCACAAUCCUCCCCCCUUGGGGCCCAGCAUCCUCGCUGGCAUACCGAUCCGGGUACUAACUCUGAUACCAACUGUCAGCACCUGUCCAAAAUUCCUCACC